Molecule: ribosomal RNA, 460 nt
Filed under: uncultured Treponema sp.
Lineage: Bacteria; Pseudomonadati; Spirochaetota; Spirochaetia; Treponematales; Treponemataceae
Description: partial 16S ribosomal RNA
Rfam family: Bacterial small subunit ribosomal RNA
Source: RNAcentral
ACGGAAGGCAGCAGCUAAGAAUAUUCCGCAAUGGGGGAAACCCUGACGGAGCGACGCCGCGUGGAUGAUGAAGGCCGGGAGGUUGUAAAAUCCUUUUAUGACUGAGGAAUAAGUAUUCUGAGAGAAACGGAGUAUGGUGACUGUAGGUCAUGAAUAAGCAACGGCUAAUUACGUGCCAGCAGCCGCGGUAACACGUAAGGUGCGAGCGUUGUUCGGAAUCAUUGGGCGUAAAGGGCAUGUAGGCGGUCUGUCAAGCCAGGCGUGAAAGCCGGGGGCUCAACCCCCGAACUGCGCUUGGAACUGGCGGACUGGAGUCGCUGAGGGGGAACCGGAAUUCCUGGUGUAGGGGUGAAAUCUGUAGAUAUCAGGAAGAACACCGAUGGCGAAGGCAGGUUUCCAGCAGACGACUGACGCUGAGGUGCGAAGGUGCGGGGAGCAAACAGGAUUAGAUACCCUGGUA